Molecule: ribosomal RNA, 289 nt
Filed under: uncultured Rhodospirillales bacterium
Lineage: Bacteria; Pseudomonadati; Pseudomonadota; Alphaproteobacteria; Rhodospirillales
Description: partial 16S ribosomal RNA
Source: RNAcentral
CUACUGGGGUAUCUAAUCCUGUUUGCUCCCCACGCUUUCGCGCCUCAGCGUCAAUGCCGGUCCAGUUGGCCGCCUUCGCCACCGGUGUUCUUCCCAAUCUCUACGAAUUUCACCUCUACACUGGGAAUUCCACCAACCUCUCCCGGAUUCGAGCACGCCAGUAUCAAAUGCAAUUCCCGGGUUGAGCCCAGGGCUUUCACAUCUGACUUAGCGCACCGCCUACGCGCCCUUUACGCCCAGUAAUUCCGAACAACGCUUGCCCCCUUCGUAUUACCGCGGCUGCUGGCAC